Molecule: unclassified non-coding RNA, 334 nt
Filed under: uncultured fungus
Lineage: Eukaryota; Fungi
Description: sequence contains ITS2
Source: RNAcentral
AACGCAUAUUGCACUCUCUGGUAUUCCGGAGAGUAUGCUUGUUUGAGUAUCUGUAAACAUCUCAAAUCUCGGGGCGCUUGCGCUCGAAGAGAAUUGGAUUUGAGCGAUCCCGACUCCUUCGUCAGAACGAGGAGGGUCGCUUAAAAUGCAGGUGCAGCUGGACAUUCUUCUGAGCUAAAAGCAUAUUUAUUUAGUCCCGUCAAACGGAUUAUUACUUUUGCUUCAGCUAAUAUAAAGGUCGAAUGGACUACCAACGCUGAUUGCAGGAAAACUCGUUCUUAACCGAACUUGUGAACUCGAUCUCAAAUCAAGUAAGACUACCCGCUGAACUUAA